GCGGUGUUGGUCCAGCUGGCUAAGACUCCGGCCUUCCAAGCCGGCGACCCGGGUUCAAAUCCCGGACGCCGCA
This 73-nucleotide transfer RNA is filed under the name Candidatus Nanosalinarum sp. J07AB56. It matches the Rfam family "tRNA". From Rfam's summary of the family: Transfer RNA (tRNA) molecules are approximately 80 nucleotides in length. Their secondary structure includes four short double-helical elements and three loops (D, anti-codon, and T loops). The record is from Rfam by way of RNAcentral. Lineage: Archaea; Methanobacteriati; Methanobacteriota; Candidatus Nanohaloarchaea.